CGGACGGGUGAGUAACACGUGAGCAACCUGCCUUUCAGAGGGGGAUAACGUUUGGAAACGAACGCUAAUACCGCAUAAAAUAUCGGAGUCGCAUGGCACUGAUAUCAAAGGAGCAAUCCGCUGAAAGAUGGGCUCGCGUCCGAUUAGGCAGUUGGCGGGGUAACGGCCCACCAAACCGACAAUCGGUAGCCGGACUGAGAGGUUGAACGGCCACAUUGGGACUGAGACACGGCCCAGACUCCUACGGGAGGCAGCAG
This 257-nucleotide ribosomal RNA is filed under the name uncultured bacterium. Its description in RNAcentral is "partial 16S ribosomal RNA". It matches the Rfam family "Bacterial small subunit ribosomal RNA", at positions 99 to 354 of the family's 1533-position model. The record is from RNAcentral.